RNAcentral lists this ribosomal RNA (501 nucleotides) under uncultured bacterium. RNAcentral's name for it is "partial 16S ribosomal RNA". It matches the Rfam family "Bacterial small subunit ribosomal RNA", at positions 29 to 523 of the family's 1533-position model. The record is from RNAcentral.
AUUGAACGCUGGCGGCAUGCCUUACACAUGCAAGUCGAACGGCAGCACGGGUGCUUGCACCUGGUGGCGAGUGGCGAACGGGUGAGUAAUACAUCGGAACGUACCUUAUCGUGGGGGAUAACGCAGCGAAGGCUGUGCUAAUACCGCAUACGCCCUGAGGGGGAAAGCGGGGGAUCGCAAGACCUCGCGCGAUUAGAGCGGCCGAUGCCUGAUUAGCUUGUUGGUGGGGUAAAAGCCCACCAAGGCGACGAUCAGUAGCUGGUCUGAGAGGACGAUCAGCCACACUGGGACUGAGACACGGCCCAGACUCCUACGGGAGGAAGCAGUGGGGAAUUUUGGACAAUGGGGGCAACCCUGAUCCAGCAAUGCCGCGUGAGUGAAGAAGGCCUUCGGGUUGUAAAGCUCUUUUGUCAGGGAAGAAACACCGGCUCUAACACAGUCCGGGAAUGACGGUACCUGAAGAAUAAGCACCGGCUAACUACGUGCCAGCCGCCGCGGUAA